RNAcentral lists this ribosomal RNA (301 nucleotides) under uncultured bacterium. RNAcentral's name for it is "partial 16S ribosomal RNA". It matches the Rfam family "Bacterial small subunit ribosomal RNA", at positions 509 to 808 of the family's 1533-position model. The record is from RNAcentral.
CAGUCGCCGCGGGAAAACGUAGGUGGCAAGCGUUGUCCGGAAUUAUUGGGCGUAAAGGCUCGCAGGCGGUUUCUUAAGUCUGAUGUGAAAGCCCCCGGCUCAACCGGGGAGGGUCAUUGGAAACUGGGAAACUUGAGUGCAGAAGAGGAGAGUGGAAUUCCACGUGUAGCGGUGAAAUGCGUAGAGAUGUGGAAGAACACCAGUGGCGAAGGCGACUCUCUGGUCUGUAACUGACGCUGAGGAGCGAAAGCGUGGGGAGCGAACAGGAUUAGAUACCCCAGUAGUCCCUGUCUCUUAUACA